Molecule: ribosomal RNA, 185 nt
Filed under: uncultured Burkholderiales bacterium
Lineage: Bacteria; Pseudomonadati; Pseudomonadota; Betaproteobacteria; Burkholderiales
Description: partial 16S ribosomal RNA
Rfam family: Bacterial small subunit ribosomal RNA
Source: RNAcentral
GGGGAGGCAGCAGUGGGGAAUAUUGGACAAUGGGGGAAACCCUGAUCCAGCAAUGACGCUUGAGUGAAGAAGGCCUUCGGGUGGUAAAGCUCUUUUGUCAGGGAAGAAACAGCAGCUCUAACACAGUGUGAGAAUGACGGUACCUGAAGAAUAAGCACCGGCUAACUACGUGCCAGCAGCCGCGG